UUGUACGAAUCUCCUCUUGUGUCGUCUUUGUUCGUGUUCUUUCGGAUCAAAUCGGUAGAUUAGGUUCUUUCCUACACAUGUAGCUACUUGGGUUACACAGCCAUGGCGGAGGUAGACGUACUAGACGACACCAGACUGGAGCAAGUAUUACAGGAUAUCAGCAGUGACGACAGAGCGACAAUGGUCGCCGGUGAAAUUAGGUCAAAGCUACAGUGUAUUAUGACCGAGUUUGACUUCAUCGUGGACACAUGGCCGGACUAUAAGGCUCUCGUAAUCCGUCGCUCUGCAAACUCGCAGACCCCAUUAUCGGGACAGGCGUCAAUGGUGUAUGCAAAAGAGCUGGACUCCUUGAGGAGAAUACUUAUGAAAGAGGGAGUCAUUGAUUGGUCAAAUAUUGUCAGAAUUAGAGGUUGUGAUUCGAAGUUGAUGUCAGUUUUCUCAGCCAUUCUGAAUCAACUCAACAAAAGUAUCACCCACAGGACACCCUGUAGACUUCUGAGAGCCACAGAGGAAACCUUGCAACUCAGGCCAGUUUCGGAGGGGUUUACAGUGUCAAGCGUCCAAGUAGGUCAGUCAGAAAUGGUGAACUCCACUUGGAAGUUCAGGAGUGAAUACUCAACCAGCUGCAUUCGCAAAAUAAUUGGAACGAUGCCGUCGUGCUGCCUGUACGACAACAUGGGACACGUGGUGGGCUACGCCCUCACCUACCACUACGGCUUUUUGGGGAUGUUGCACGUGAAAGAGGAACACCGAGGAAAGGGGUACGCCAAGGUGAUCAUGUCUCACCUGGCGCACAAAUGUCUUCAGGAACAGGACUAUGCUUCCGUGGUGGUUGAAAGCGACAACUGUCUGUCCAUGAAACUUCAUACAGAUAUAGGAUUUGUAGAAGUGCCCGACUUGAAACUGUGUUGGAUGACGUGUACAUAGUUCUAAUAAAAUUCCCGUGUUACAUGAAGUCUCUGGCAUUGAAAAGGUAUGCAAAGUUGUUUUGGAAGCAAUGAAAUUACAUUUAAAUAAAUGUCAUUAUGCUUUAUCCUAUGGUUAUGAAAAUGUCAGUUCUGCUCUUCAUACCAAGGUAAUUCACAUUACACUUCUUCGAAUGUUGUGAAAGGAUAUUUUUCGGCUUUAUUUACUAUUUAUAUUGGUAAAGCCGAAAUUUCUUUGUUGUAUGUUUGGUGAUCUUGCGUUGAAGAGUGAGUGAGUUUUGUUUUACGCCGCUUUUAGCAUGGUACAAUGUGUGAAGCCCAUUUCUGGUGUCCCCCGCCGUGAUAUUGCUGGAAUAUUGCUAAAAGCGGCGUAAAACCAUACUCACUCACUCACUUUAAUUUCAUAAACCUAUGGGCAGUGGCUUCUGUCCUGACUAGCCAGCAGCUACCUCACCUUUUUCACCCCACAAAACGUCCAGAGGGCAUAUCUGGUGAGCAUAUUCAGUUUAUUCAGCAUUUGUGAAGAUUCUACAGUUAUGGGCUAAAGCUGGUUGAUGAUGUACAGCAUUACCUUAUGUUUGGUCUUGGUGUUAUUUAUUGUCAAUAGAUCCGGGGAGAAAUACUUUCAAAAUUCCAUUCUGUGAUAACUGACUACGACAUCAUCGUGGACCGCUGGCCAGAUUACUGGCCCUAGUUGUGCGUGCUGAUCCAAGGUAAUAUUAACAUUCAAAAAGUAAAUGCAACAGCUGUUGACGAUGGCACAGAUGUAUGUUUAUUAACUGUCAGCACUGUGGCCAUCGCAUUAUCAUGCAAUCCUAGAAGGAAGUUCAACCAUCGCCAUCGCAUUUUUUAUGGAAUCCCAGAAGGGACAUUGUCGCCCUUACAAAAACAAGUAAAAAGUGUCAAAAAUAACCAAAGCGCAACAAUGCGACAACGCGACAUUUUGGCCUUUUGUAGCAUUGUCGCUUAGUCGCAUUGUCGUGCCUCAGUAAAGCUUUCAAAAUGUUUUAUGGUAGACAUGUUGAGGACAUUUCCAAAUUUGAGGAAUCAGAGACAAAAUUGAUGUCCAAUGUAAUUCCCUAUUUUGACGGGUGCCAGCGAUUAGGCAGAAUACGUUCUCCUUUUCUCGAACAUCUGGUAUCAUUACUAUUUGAUGGUGAUUCAUAAACAUAUGCUCAUGAUAUAGUCGGAAUCGUGCAAUCGAUUCUAUUGGGUAUGGAAACUUGCGACAUAUUUCAAGGUCAAAUUAUGUCUUGUUGUCGCAUUGUCGCACCAUCAAAAACGUGUAAAAAGGCGUCUUUUUAUUUUACCAAAGGGCGACAAUACGACAUAUUUUGACCUUGAAAAUUGUCGCAUUGUCGCCCUUUGGUAAAAUAAAAAAGAUUAUUCAAAGUGCGACAAUGAGACAAAUGGCCAAAAUGUUGUGUUGUUGCAUUGCCACGCUUUGGUUAAUUUGGACAUUUUUGGCUUGUGUUUGUAAGGAAGACAAUGCGACAAUGCGACAAUGUCCCUUCUAGGAUUCCAUACAUUUUCUAUAUGAGACGGAGGAUGAUCCACCAGAAGAUAUGUGUUCGUUCAUUUGUUUUUGAGACCAGAUCCAAGCGCCAGUUCACAAAGGUGGUGGUUGUAGCCGCGUAUGUGAUGCUAUUGUGCAAUGGCCAUUAUCCUGACUAACCAGAAGCUAACUCAGCUUUUACUGACUCUACAAAACGUCGAGCGAGCAUAUCAGAUCCGGGGUGAAAUACUUUCAAAACUCCAUUCUGUUAUAACUGACUACGACUUCAUCGUGGACCGCUGGCCAGAUUUCAGAGCCCUAGUUGUGCGGGCUGAUAGAGCUACAGCCAAGUAUCCUGUCUUCUUGGGCAACCAUACAUAUGUUUACACCACAGACCGAGACGCUCUGGAGUUGUUGCUUCAACAGCCUGGCGUCAUACACUGGUCAGAAAAGACUGCGUUUUCAUGUUUCGGCGAUGAUGUUGUAUCAACUGUUAUCAAUAUGAUAUGUCAACGUGACAGGACAUACAGUGUGGACUCAUUUAUUGUUAUGAAAGUCACAAAAGAGACGCUGAGACCGAGAAACAUUCCAGAGGGAUAUACAAUGUCAAACCUUCAUCCUGAAGAAGCCCAUCUCGUCAACACCAGGUGGUAUUACAACGAAGGCAUACACUCGGAGAUAUACUUGAAGGAAAUCCUCAGCAAACUACCAUCUUGCGGCCUGUACAACGAUGAAGGCUCCUUGGUUGGAUGCGCCCUGACUUGCCAUCAUGGGAAUAUUGGUUUGCUACAUGUUGUGAAGGAACACCGAGGGAAGGGGUACGCUAAGGUGAUCAUGUCUCACCUGGCCAGUCUGUGUCUACAGCAGAUGGACGAGGUGCA
Molecule: RNA transcript, 3302 nt
Organism: Haliotis rufescens (red abalone)
Lineage: Eukaryota; Metazoa; Mollusca; Gastropoda; Lepetellida; Haliotidae
Gene name: glycine N-acyltransferase-like protein 3
Exons: 10
Source: RefSeq, a predicted model, not a curated record